Molecule: transfer RNA, 72 nt
Filed under: Dicrossus filamentosus (checkerboard dwarf cichlid)
Lineage: Eukaryota; Metazoa; Chordata; Actinopteri; Cichliformes; Cichlidae
Description: tRNA-Val
Rfam family: tRNA
About the family: Transfer RNA (tRNA) molecules are approximately 80 nucleotides in length.
Source: RNAcentral
CAAAGCGUGGCUGAAUUAGUAAAGCAUCUCCCUUACACUGAGAAAUUACCUGUGCAAACCAGGUCGCCUUGA